RNAcentral lists this ribosomal RNA (454 nucleotides) under uncultured bacterium. Its description in RNAcentral is "bacterial SSU rRNA". It matches the Rfam family "Bacterial small subunit ribosomal RNA", at positions 340 to 786 of the family's 1533-position model. The record is from RNAcentral.
UACGGAAGGCAGCAGUGGGGAAUAUUGCACAAUGGGCGAAAGCCUGAUGCAGCUAUGCCGCGUGUAUGAAGAAGGCCUUAGGGUUGUAAAGUACUUUCAUCGGGGAGGAAAAACAAAACUAAUAAUUUUAUUUCUUGACGUUACCCGAAAAAGAAGCACCGGCUAACUCCGUGCCAGCAGCCGCGGUAAUACGGAGGGUGCUAGCGUUAAUCAGAAUUACUGGGCGUAAAGAGCACGUAGGUUGGUUUUUUAAGUCAGAUGUGAAAUCCCUGGGCUUAACCUAGGAACUGCAUUUUGAAACUGAAAUACUAGAGUAUCGUAGAGGGAGGUAGAAUUCUAGGUGUAGCGGUGAAAUGCGUAGAUAUCUGGAGGAAUACCUGUGGCGAAAGCGGCCUCCUAAACGAAUACUGACACUGAGGUGCGAAAGCGUGGGGAGCAAACAGGAUUAGAUACC